ACGGAAGGCAGCAGUAGGGAAUAUUGGUCAAUGGGGGAAACCCUGAACCAGCGACGCCGCGUGAGUGAAGAAGUAUUUCGGUAUGUAAAGCUCUAUCAGCAGGGACGAUAAUGACGGUACCUGACUAAGAAGCCCCGGCUAACUACGUGCCAGCAGCCGCGGUAAUACGUAGGGGGCAAGCGUUAUCCGGAUUUACUGGGUGUAAAGGGAGCGUAGGUGGCCAUGCAAGUCAGAUGUGAAAACCCGGGGCUCAACCCCGUGACUGCAUUUGAAACUGCGUGGCUGGAGUACAGGAGAGGUAAGCGGAAUUCCUAGUGGAGCGGUGAAAUGCGUAGAUAUUAGGAGGAACACCAGUGGCGAAAGCGGCUUACUGGACUGAAACUGACACUGAGGCUCGAAAGCGUGGGGAGCAAACAGGAUUAGAUACCCUGGUA
This 434-nucleotide ribosomal RNA is filed under the name uncultured Lachnospiraceae bacterium. Its description in RNAcentral is "bacterial SSU rRNA". It matches the Rfam family "Bacterial small subunit ribosomal RNA", at positions 341 to 792 of the family's 1533-position model. Lineage: Bacteria; Bacillati; Bacillota; Clostridia; Lachnospirales; Lachnospiraceae. The record is from RNAcentral.